This 328-nucleotide ribosomal RNA is filed under the name uncultured eukaryote. Its description in RNAcentral is "partial 18S ribosomal RNA". It matches the Rfam family "Eukaryotic small subunit ribosomal RNA", at positions 1470 to 1796 of the family's 1831-position model. The record is from RNAcentral.
CCCUUAGACGUUCUGGGCCGCACGCGCGCUACACUGACCAGUGCAACAAGCAUCCGUCCUUGGCCGACAGGCCCGGGCAAUCUUUGAACGCUGGUCGUGAUGGGGAUAGACUUUUGCAAUUUUUGGUCUUCAACGAGGAAUUCCUAGUAAACGCAAGUCAUCAACUUGCAUUGAUUACGUCCCUGCCCUUUGUACACACCGCCCGUCGCUCCUACCGAUUGAAUGGUCCGGUGAAGCGUUCGGACCGUGGCCUUUGGACGGUUCGCCGUCUGUUGGCUGCGGGAAGUUCGUUAAACCUUAUCAUUUAGAGGAAGGAGAANUCGUANCA